Molecule: ribosomal RNA, 492 nt
Filed under: uncultured bacterium
Lineage: Bacteria
Description: partial 16S ribosomal RNA
Rfam family: Bacterial small subunit ribosomal RNA
Source: RNAcentral
GGGGGGGGGGGGGGGGGGGGGGGGGGGGGGGGGGGGGGAGGGGGGCGGGGGGGGGGGUUGCGCGGACGGGGGGCGGGUGGCGGGCGGGGGAGGAGGACGUCGGGAUCGACUUUUUCGUGGGGGAUAACGUAGGGAAACGUACGCUAAUACCGCAUACGACCUCCGGGUGAAAGCAGGGGAUCUUCGGACCUUGCGCGAUUGAAUGAGCCGAUGUCGGAUUAGCUAGUUGGCGGGGUAAAGGCCCACCAAGGCGACGAUCCGUAGCUGGUCUGAGAGGAGGAUCAGCCACACUGGACCUGAGACACGGUCCAGACUCCUACGGGAGGCAGCAGUGGGGAAUAUUGGACAAUGGGCGCAAGCCUGAUCCAGCCAUACCGCGUGGGUGAAGAAGGCCUUCGGGUUGUAAAGCCCUUUUGUUGGGAAAGAAAAGCAGCAGGUUAAUACCCCGCUGUUCUGACGGUACCCAAAGAAUAAGCACCGGCUAACUUCGUG